RNAcentral lists this ribosomal RNA (433 nucleotides) under uncultured bacterium. RNAcentral describes it as "partial 16S ribosomal RNA". It matches the Rfam family "Bacterial small subunit ribosomal RNA", at positions 29 to 507 of the family's 1533-position model. The record is from RNAcentral.
AACGAACGCUGGCGGCAUGCCUAACACAUGCAAGUCGAACGAGACCUUCGGGUCUAGUGUCGCACGGGUGCGUAACGCGUGGGAACCUGCCCUUAGGUUCGGAAUAACUCCCCGAAAGGGGUGCUAAUACCGGAUAAUGUCUUCGGACCAAAGAUUUAUCGCCUUUGGAUGGGCCCGCGUUGGAUUAGCUAGUUGGUAGGGUAAAAGCCUACCAAGGCGACGAUCCAUAGCUGGUCUGAGAGGAUGAUCAGCCACACUGGGACUGAGACACGGCCCAGACUCCUACGGGAGGCAGCAGUGGGGAAUAUUGGACAAUGGGCGAAAGCCUGAUCCAGCAAUGACGCGUGAGUGAUGAAGGCCUAAGGGUUGUAAAGCUCUUUUAACCGGGAUGAUAAUGACAGUACCGGGAGAAUAAGCUCCGGCUAACUCCGUG